RNAcentral lists this ribosomal RNA (292 nucleotides) under uncultured bacterium. Its description in RNAcentral is "partial 16S ribosomal RNA". It matches the Rfam family "Bacterial small subunit ribosomal RNA", at positions 505 to 796 of the family's 1533-position model. The record is from RNAcentral.
GUGCCAGCAGCCGCGGUAAAACGUAGGAGCCUAGCGUUAUCCGAAUUCACUGGGCGUAAAGCGCGUGCAGGCGGCGCGGUAAGUUGGAUGUGAAAUCUCCCGGCUCAACUGGGAGGGGACGUUCAAAACUACCGGGCUCGAGGGCAGUAGAGGGAGGUGGAAUUCCCGGUGUAGUGGUGAAAUGCGUAGAUAUCGGGAGGAACACCAGUGGCGAAAGCGGCCUCCUGGACUGUACCUGACGCUGAGAUGCGAAAGCUAGGGGAGCAAACGGGAUUAGAAACCCUCGUAGUCC